RNAcentral lists this ribosomal RNA (725 nucleotides) under uncultured bacterium. RNAcentral's name for it is "bacterial SSU rRNA". It matches the Rfam family "Bacterial small subunit ribosomal RNA", at positions 56 to 763 of the family's 1533-position model. The record is from RNAcentral.
UGCAAGUCGAGCGAAUCAUUGGGAGCUUGCUCCCUUUGGUUAGCGGCGGACGGGUGAGUAACACGUGGGCAACCUGCCUGUAAGACUGGGAUAACUUCGGGAAACCGGAGCUAAUACCGGAUAACUCAUGAGACCACAUGGUCUUGUGUUAAAAGAUGGCUUCGGCUAUCACUUACAGAUGGGCCCGCGGCGCAUUAGCUAGUUGGUGAGGUAACGGCUCACCAAGGCGACGAUGCGUAGCCGACCUGAGAGGGUGAUCGGCCACACUGGGACUGAGACACGGCCCAGACUCCUACGGGAGGCAGCAGUAGGGAAUCUUCCGCAAUGGACGAAAGUCUGACGGAGCAACGCCGCGUGAGCGAUGAAGGCCUUCGGGUCGUAAAGCUCUGUUGUUAGGGAAGAACAAGUAUCGUUCGAAUAGGGCGGUACCUUGACGGUACCUAACCAGAAAGCCACGGCUAACUACGUGCCAGCAGCCGCGGUAAUACGUAGGUGGCAAGCGUUGUCCGGAAUUAUUGGGCGUAAAGCGCGCGCAGGCGGUCCUUUAAGUCUGAUGUGAAAGCCCACGGCUCAACCGUGGAGGGUCAUUGGAAACUGGGGGACUUGAGUGCAGAAGAGGAGAGCGGAAUUCCACGUGUAGCGGUGAAAUGCGUAGAGAUGUGGAGGAACACCAGUGGCGAAGGCGGCUCUCUGGUCUGUAACUGACGCUGAGGCGCGAAAGCGUG